This 405-nucleotide ribosomal RNA is filed under the name uncultured bacterium. RNAcentral's name for it is "partial 16S ribosomal RNA". It matches the Rfam family "Bacterial small subunit ribosomal RNA", at positions 28 to 526 of the family's 1533-position model. The record is from RNAcentral.
GACGAACGCUGGCGGCGUGCUUAACACAUGCAAGUCGAGCGGAGCGGCGAACGGGUGAGUAACGCGUGAGUAACUGACCCCCUCUCUGGGAUAACAGUUGGAAACGGCUGCUAAUACCGGAUAGUGGGGGAUGACUCGCGUGCUAUCAGCUUGUUGGUGGGGUAGGGGCCUACCAAGGGGACGACGAGUAGCCGGCCUGAGAGGGCGACCGGCCACAUUGGGCUGAGGUACGGCCCAGUCGCCUACGGGCGGCAGCAGUGGGGAAUAUUGCACAAUGGGGGAACCCCUGUGGCAGCAACGCCGCGUGCGGGAUGACGGCCUUUGGGUUGUAAACCGCUUUCAGCCAUGACGCGGUAGUGACAGAAGAAGCACCGGCUAACUACGUGCCAGCAGCCGCGGUAAUAC